Molecule: ribosomal RNA, 264 nt
Filed under: uncultured bacterium
Lineage: Bacteria
Description: partial 16S ribosomal RNA
Rfam family: Bacterial small subunit ribosomal RNA
Source: RNAcentral
UACAGAGGGUGCGAGCGUUAAUCGGAAUUACUGGGCGUAAAGCGCACGUAGUCGGCUUGUCAAGUCGGGUGUGAAAGCCCUGGGCGUCAACCUGGGAACGUGCAGUGGAAACUAGGACGACUAGAGUGUGGUAGAGGGUAGCGGAAUUCCUGGCGUAGCAGUGAAAUGCGUAGAGAUCAGGAGGAACAUCCAUGGCGAAGGCAGCUACCUGGACCAACACUGACACUGAGGCACGAAAGCGUGGGGAGCAAACAGGAUUAGAAA